This 484-nucleotide ribosomal RNA is filed under the name uncultured bacterium. RNAcentral describes it as "partial 16S ribosomal RNA". It matches the Rfam family "Bacterial small subunit ribosomal RNA", at positions 28 to 507 of the family's 1533-position model. The record is from RNAcentral.
AUUGAACGCUGGCGGCAGGCCUAACACAUGCAAGUCGAGCGGAAGAACGGUGCUUGCUCGGUACUCCAGGGGCGGACGGGUGAGUAACGCCUGGGUGAUCUGCCGUUCACGGGGGCAAAGGCCGGGAAAAGGGGGUCAAUACCCCAAACGGCGGGAGGUGGAGAGGGGGGGUUGUUCGGUCCUUUCGGUGUAGGAUGAGCUUGGGCCGGAUUGGCUAGUUGGUGGGGUAAAGGCCUACCAAGGCGCCGAUCCGUAACUGGCCUGGGAGGAUGACCGGGCACACUGGAACUGAGACACGGCCCAGGCUCCUACGGGAGGCCGCAGUGGGGAAUAUUGGACAAUGGGCGGAAGCCUGAUCCAGCCAUGCCGCGUGGGUGAAGAAGGUCUUCGGGUUGUAAAGCACUUUUAGUGGUGAAGAAGAGCAGCAAGUGAAUACCAGGCUGUUGUGACGGUACCAACAGAAGAAGCACCGGCUAACUUCGUG